GUGAGCCGGCAGCCUUCUGGUACAUCAUCCACGAAAUCCCUGAAAUCAUCAUCAGUGAUAAGAUUCAUAUCCGUGGGAACGAUGCACUCAUCAUACCCAGUAUCAUCAUCCUCCCCUGUCUCCGCCGGCAGCCUCGUCCCAUGCCCGCUAUAGUGGAAAAACAGGAAAUCCCCAGGCUCGGCCGAUCGAAUCAGGCGGAUGAUGGCGCGGCGGAUGUUGGCGCCAGUCGGCUGAUCGCCGGACCGAUCGGUGUCGAUGAGGACGGUGAUGUCCUCCUCGGCGAAUCCGUAGCGAUCAAUUAGACAACGGUGCAUGCGGCGCACAUCGUUAAUGCAGCCCUUGAGCUCCGCCUUGGUGCCCGGGUAGUUGCAGCCGACGAGAAGCGCUUUCUUUCCCAUUGGAUAGGGUGAUGCCUGGUGGCGGGAUCGGCGGUGGUGGCGACGGCGGCGCCGGCGGCGGAGCGAUUCGGGGGUGGAGGUGCUUAUUUUGG
Molecule: unclassified non-coding RNA, 490 nt
Filed under: Hevea brasiliensis (rubber tree)
Lineage: Eukaryota; Viridiplantae; Streptophyta; Magnoliopsida; Malpighiales; Euphorbiaceae
Source: RNAcentral